GAGGGUAUAGCUCAGUGGUAGAGUGCAUGCUUAGCAUGCACAAGGUCCUGGGUUCGAUCCCCAGUACCUCCA
Molecule: transfer RNA, 72 nt
Filed under: Camelus bactrianus (Bactrian camel)
Lineage: Eukaryota; Metazoa; Chordata; Mammalia; Artiodactyla; Camelidae
Also listed under: 1 other name
Rfam family: tRNA
About the family: Transfer RNA (tRNA) molecules are approximately 80 nucleotides in length. Their secondary structure includes four short double-helical elements and three loops (D, anti-codon, and T loops).
Source: Rfam by way of RNAcentral